Molecule: ribosomal RNA, 515 nt
Filed under: Tricondyloides sp. IBE JGZ-3839
Lineage: Eukaryota; Metazoa; Arthropoda; Insecta; Coleoptera; Cerambycidae
Description: partial large subunit ribosomal RNA
Rfam family: Bacterial large subunit ribosomal RNA
Source: RNAcentral
GGCUUUUUGAUAUUAAUUUAAGGUCUAACCUGCCCACUGAGGAGUUUAAGGGCCGCGGUAUUUUGACCGUGCUAAGGUAGCAUAAUCAUUAGUUUUUUAAAUGGAAGCUGGAAUGAAGGGUUGGAUAAGAAAAUGACUGUCUCUUUAAUAAUUAAAUUGAAUUUUAUUUUUAAAUAAAAAAGCUUAAAUGUAUUUAAAAGACGAGAAGACCCUAUAGAGUUUUAUAAAAUAUUAAAUAUUUUAUAUUUUAGGAAUUUUAGAUAAAAAUUUAAGUUUUAUUUGAUUGGGGUGAUUGAAAAAUUUAAAAAACUUUUUUAUUUAAAUUACAUAAAUUUAUGAAUAAUUGAUCCAUUAAUUAUGAUUAAAAGAUUAAAUUACCUUAGGGAUAACAGCGUUAUUUUUUUUGAGAGUUCUAAUCGAAAAAAAAGUUUGCGACCUCGAUGUUGGAUUAAAAUUUAUUUUUGGUGAAGAAGUUAAAAAUAUUAGGUCUGUUCGACCUUUAAAAUUUUACAUGA